GACGAACGCUGGCGGCGUGCCUAAUACAUGCAAGUCGAGCGGAUGGAUGGGAGCUUGCUCCCUGACGUCAGCGGCGGACGGGUGAGUAACACGUGGGCAACCUGCCCCUAAGAUCGGGAUAACUUCGGGAAACCGGAGCUAAUACCGGAUAUGAUUAUGUCUCACAUGAGACAUAAUGGAAAGACGGUUUCUGCUGUCAAUUAGGGAUGGGCCCGCGGCGCAGUAGCUAGUUGGGGAGGUAACGGCUCACCAAGGCGACGAUGCGUACCCGACCUGAGAGGGUGAUCGGCCACACUGGGACUGAGACACGGCCCAGACUCCUACGGGAGGCAGCAGUAGGGAAUCUUCCGCAAUGGACGAAAGUCUGACGGAGCAACGCCGCGUGAGUGAAGAAGGUUUUCGGAUCGUAAAACUCUGUUGUUAGGGAAGAACAAGUACCAUAGUAACUGAUGGUACCUUGACGGUACCUAACCAGAAAGCCACGGCUAACUACGUGCCAGCCGCCGCCGUAA
Molecule: ribosomal RNA, 512 nt
Filed under: uncultured bacterium
Lineage: Bacteria
Description: partial 16S ribosomal RNA
Rfam family: Bacterial small subunit ribosomal RNA
Source: RNAcentral